AAAUCCUCCAAUGGCU
This 16-nucleotide microRNA is filed under the name Corchorus olitorius. Its description in RNAcentral is "mml-miR-6". The record is from RNAcentral. Lineage: Eukaryota; Viridiplantae; Streptophyta; Magnoliopsida; Malvales; Malvaceae.